GUGGGCUGCAAAAUUUGAAAUUUGUGGAAUAAGACUAAGUGAAAUUGCCUCAGGACGCUAUGUAGCUGUGGGAGCAAUUAGCUCUAGACCACCCAUGAAAGGCCUCAAUGGCUCAGGAAUAAUAACAGACCCAUCUUCCUGCUGAUAAUUUUCAAGCAAGCAAAUGAUCAUUCGAGGCACAGCACAUGCUGUUGCAUUCAAUGUGUGAACAAAUUGUGUAGGUGCCAGAUUGCCUUUACUCUUCUUUGAAGUUGUUGGUACGGGUUCUUGUGGACGAUAUCGGAUUCCCAAUCUGCGGC
This 299-nucleotide unclassified non-coding RNA is filed under the name Hevea brasiliensis (rubber tree). The record is from RNAcentral. Lineage: Eukaryota; Viridiplantae; Streptophyta; Magnoliopsida; Malpighiales; Euphorbiaceae.